Long non-coding RNA from Gallus gallus (chicken), 1984 nucleotides. RefSeq lists it as uncharacterized. The transcript has 3 exons. The record is from RefSeq and is a predicted model, not a curated record. Lineage: Eukaryota; Metazoa; Chordata; Aves; Galliformes; Phasianidae.
AAAUGGAGAAAGAGGAGAGGAUAUGUACUGCCUCUGAAGUUAGUGUGCUUGAAAAAGCUGUCUGGUUUCCCUGGAAAUCGAGACUUUCUAAUGACACAUUUGAAGUUUCCCAGAUGGCAGCAGAGGGACAAUCUGACCAAAUAGUGUCUGACAUGAAAAUGUGAAUGAAGCAAAGUGUAUGGGAACUGUUGAAUCAAGGCCGGAACAUCUGAUUGACCACCUGAUGUGAGCGCUGAGUCAGCCACAGGGGCACAGGUGAAUGCAAUUUCACCUGAGUGACCAGAGCCAGGCUCCACCCCUCCUAGACCCCAUUUAAGGGCUGACUCCCAAGAAGGAAGGUUCUCUAUCUGAAGAUCACUCCUCUUGGAGUGCUUCUGCAAGCCUGGGAUACAGUGUAAAGGAAGAUGACUAUUUGUGGAAUGCAGCCACUAGUUGAAUGCUGUCCACUGGAGUGAAGGAGAGUCUCCUAGCUAACAAUUGUCAGCAGGCUACAAUUUACUCUCAGUCCAAGCCUUUUCCAUUUCUUUGAUUGUGACAAAACUGUAAUUCCUGUCUCUGAUAAAAUCUUUAUUGUUAUAUUCCAUGGAUGCUCUCACCUUACUCAUUGGAUUGGAUUUGUCCAGUUUUUGACAAUGAAAUAUCCCAGAAAUUCCCAGUUUCUUCUACAGCUGCUUUCUUCUAACUGUUUAAGGAGGAAUAGUAAAAGUCUGUUCCCAGCUGCAGUGAAAUGUAAAUAAUAAAUUUCCAGAGCAUGGAAUGAGUAAUACAAUCUAUUGAAGAAACCUGGAAAUAAAACCAAGGGAGAGGUUUCUCCUUCUACUUUCUGUUGUGGCUCUGUCCAUUUCUGAUUUCCAAUUAUCCCUGAAGUAUGAAUCUAAUCCAUACAGAGACUGUGAUGAUGAAUUAAAAUAGUUUGAUUUUUUUUAACUAAUACAAAAGUUAAAAUACAGUAUUCAAAAUCACAGAAGUUUAAAUGUUUUUGUUAGAACUGCUAGCAAAUAUUUCCUACAGUCUUCCAAUUGCAACUGGAACUUAAGGGCACACUGCAGUCUUGAAUUCUUCUUUUAAAGUAAAUUCCCUCAAAUAAUCUUGAUACUAAAACCAUAUAUUUGAUUUAAUUCCAAAUUUAUUACCAAAAUGUAGAAACAUCCAAAUGAGAAAUAUAAGAUAGAGAAAAAUUAGAAAAUAUUUUAAUUUUUAAAAUUUCUAUUUUUAAAUAUAUAAUCCUUACCUUUUUAGUGUUUGAUCAAGAUUAUGUUGUACAUUAUAAUAUGUAAAAGCUAAAAGGUUCUUAGAAAACGAAGAUAAAAGAAACAUUUACUGUGCUUGUCUGCAGGUUAAAGCAUCUUAUUCCCAUUUUCACAUGGAUAUACUCAGUCUGUAUUUUAUUACUAGGUUAUAUUCAAAGUGGUUUAAUUAGUGUAUCUCUGCUCUUUUUUACAGGCUCUACCUUAUUUUCUUCUUUGUAGGUCAUUACUGUUUUACACACCUAUUAAUUUAAGAUUUCAAAAUAUAAUUUUGUUCAUGUUCAAAACUUCACAUUGUAUAAGAUUACAAUACUGUUUUGACUUUGACAGUUCCUUAAAUCAAAUUGCAUGGAAAAAAUGCCUCUUCAAUAUUUCUAGGAUAUGAUGUGGAUUCAAAAAAUUAUAGUCCUCUAUAGUCUUUUACAGGACUUUUUAUUGAAAAAUUAUUUCCUUACUACAAGGGUGUAUAUUAACUACCAGUCCUCCCUGUGCCAGUAAACUUUUAAGUAUUUAUUUUCAGCAUUGUGACAUUCAUAUGUAUUGCAAUCUAGAAAGAUUCAACUACUGUAUGGGAUCUGUUGAGUCAUGGCCUGAACCACUGAUUGAUCACCUGAGGCAAGGACUGGGUCAGCUGUGGGAGCACAGGAAGGCAGUUCACCUGUGUGACUGGAAGGGGUGGAGCCAGGCUAGAUCCCAUUUAAGGGCUAACUACCACUGAGGAAGAAUCUCUUUCUGGA